GCCGAGCCAGGUAGCGUUGGCUUGUAACCCAAGCGGGGGCACGUGAGGUUUGGGAUGGUUAAAGGAACCACAGAUGGGUUGGUUGCGAUCGUGUAGAAGCCUGGCCUGCCCGUUCCAAGUCAGGUAGCUGAGCCAUGCGGCUUGGGCGAAGGCCCGUUCCAAGUCAGGUACGCCCCAUGGCUCUUAGAGCAGAGGGCACCGCGUCAGGCUGGCUUCACAGAGCAGCGAUGACCACCUCGCUCUUGACGGUGGGAGGAUAACAAGUCGGCGCACAUCGCAUCCACCACGCCCACCUCGCUCCUUAGACCAAACCACCACCUUU
This 322-nucleotide signal recognition particle RNA is filed under the name Musa acuminata subsp. malaccensis (wild Malaysian banana). Its description in RNAcentral is "Plant signal recognition particle RNA". It matches the Rfam family "Plant signal recognition particle RNA". The record is from Rfam by way of RNAcentral. Lineage: Eukaryota; Viridiplantae; Streptophyta; Magnoliopsida; Zingiberales; Musaceae.